AUGCUUCAGUCCAUGGGGUUUCAAAGAGUUGCACAUGACUUAGCAACUAAACAACAACACACUUUACAUGGUCAGUGGGCAGACACGUGGACUCCUGCUUGGAUGUGGAUUUCCAGGGACCACUCGGCGUUCUUGGUACCAGGAAUCGGAACCACCAGUCUGGCUGUCACAGCCAAGUUUGGCCAGCCUGGCUUUAGCUGCUCACCCACUCUGGCUUCCCUGGUGGCUCAGAAGGUAAAGAAUCUGCCUGCAAUGUGGGAGACCCAGGUUCGAUCCCUGGGUCAGGAAGAUCCCUGGAGACGGGAAUGGCUACCCACUCCAGUAUUCUGGCCUGCAGAAUUCCAUGGACAGAGGAGCCUGGCGGGCUGCAAUCCAUGUGUUGCAAAGAGUCAGACAUGA
Bos indicus x Bos taurus (hybrid cattle) is the source of this 399-nucleotide long non-coding RNA. The record is from Ensembl. Lineage: Eukaryota; Metazoa; Chordata; Mammalia; Artiodactyla; Bovidae.